Molecule: ribosomal RNA, 254 nt
Filed under: uncultured bacterium
Lineage: Bacteria
Description: partial 16S ribosomal RNA
Rfam family: Bacterial small subunit ribosomal RNA
Source: RNAcentral
UACGGAGGGUGCAAGCGUUAUCCGGAUUUACUGGGUUUAAAGGGCUCGUAGGCGGCCAACUAAGUCAGACGUGAAAUCCCUCGGCUUAACCGGGGAACUGCGUCUGAUACUGGAUGGCUUGAGUGUGGGAGAGGGAUGCGGAAUUCCAGGUGUAGCGGUGAAAUGCGUAGAUAUCUGGAGGAACACCGGUGGCGAAGGCGGCAUCCUGGACUACUACUGACGCUGAGUGAGCGAAAGCCAGGGGAGCAAACGGG